CAGUAGCCACGGUAAUACGAAGGGGCUAGCGUUGUUCGGAUUUACUGGGCGUAAAGCGCACGUAGGCGGAUCGAUCAGUCAGGGGUGAAAUCCUGGAGCUCAACUCCAGAACUGCCUUUGAUACUGACGAUCUCGAGUCCGGAAGAGGUGAGUGGAACUCCUAGUGUAGAGGUGGAAUUCGUAGAUAUUAGGAAGAACACCAGUGGCGAAGGCGGCUCACUGGUCCGGUACUGACGCUGAGGUGCGAAAGCGUGGGGAGCAAACAGGAUUAGAUACCCGUGUAGUCCCUGUCUCUUAUACC
This 301-nucleotide ribosomal RNA is filed under the name uncultured bacterium. RNAcentral's name for it is "partial 16S ribosomal RNA". It matches the Rfam family "Bacterial small subunit ribosomal RNA", at positions 509 to 808 of the family's 1533-position model. The record is from RNAcentral.